Molecule: ribosomal RNA, 468 nt
Filed under: uncultured bacterium
Lineage: Bacteria
Description: partial 16S ribosomal RNA
Rfam family: Bacterial small subunit ribosomal RNA
Source: RNAcentral
GACGAACGCUGGCGGCGUGCUUAACACAUGCAAGUCGAACGGAAAGGCCCUGCUUUUGUGGGGUGCUCGAGUGGCGAACGGGUGAGUAACACGUGAGUAACCUGCCCUUGACUUUGGGAUAACUUCAGGAAACUGGGGCUAAUACCGGAUAGGAGCUCCUGCUGCAUGGUGGGGGUUGGAAAGUUUCGGCGGUUGGGGAUGGACUCGCGGCUCAUCAGCUUGUUGGUGGGGUAGUGGCUUACCAAGGCUUUGACGGGUAGCCGGCCUGAGAGGGUGACCGACCACAUUGGGACUGAGAUACGGCCCAGACUCCUACGGGAGGCAGCAGUGGGGAAUAUUGCACAAUGGGCGGAAGCCUGAUGCAGCAACGCCGCGUGCGGGAUGACGGCCUUCGGGUUGUAAACCGCUUUCGCCUGUGACGAAGCGUGAGUGACGGUAAUGGGUAAAGAAGCACCGGCUAACUACGUG